RNAcentral lists this ribosomal RNA (253 nucleotides) under uncultured prokaryote. RNAcentral describes it as "partial 16S ribosomal RNA". It matches the Rfam family "Bacterial small subunit ribosomal RNA", at positions 524 to 776 of the family's 1533-position model. The record is from RNAcentral.
UACGGAGGGGGCCAGCGUUGUUCGGAAUCAUUGGGCGUAAAGGGCGCGUAGGCGGCCGAUCAAGUCGGAGGUGAAAUCCCUCGGCUCAACUGAGGAAUUGCCUCCGAUACUGUUCGGCUUGAGUCCCGGAGAGGGUAGUGGAAUUCCGAGUGUAGCGGUGAAAUGCGUAGAGACUCGGAGGAACACCAGUGGCGAAGGCGGCUACCUGGACGGGUACUGACGCUGAAGCGCGAAAGCGUGGGGAGCAAACAGG